Ictidomys tridecemlineatus (thirteen-lined ground squirrel) is the source of this 1152-nucleotide non-coding RNA. The record is from RefSeq and is a predicted model, not a curated record. NCBI's taxonomy places the organism in Eukaryota, Metazoa, Chordata, Mammalia, Rodentia, Sciuridae.
GUCCUCACCAAGGUGCAGCCACUAGGAGUGGGCACCGUGCAUCAAGAAAAUUAGGAAGCGCACCACCAGCUGGAGGGGCCAAGGUCACACGUGGUGUUAGAAGAAGAGGAAACAGAAUCUUGGGGCUGUGUGCUCACUCCCCGGUGACGCAGGCUGGAGAUGCAGUGGACAGUAGUCCAUCAGCCGUGUGCAGGCAUCCAGAGAGUGCUAGUCGCAGCAGGGACCUGCCACUGUGAGACAAAGGCAUUUUGAUCUGAAAUGUGGGUCCAGGCCACACCACCUGCUGAGCUAAGAGUUGUCACUGAAGUUGCCUUUGGAAGACCCAAAAUUGGCUGCAGAUUCUGGAGAAGUCUCCUCCUGAUCUCUGGAAUUGAGGGAAGAAGGGCUUCAGAACCUCAGGUCCUCAACUUUCCAGGAAUAAGAAGGAGUCGGUGCAAUCUUCAGCAAGUCAGGACAGAGUUGAUGGGUGGACAGUGGCCUGCGGAAGUCUCACCCCAGCUUUUCACAGGGCCUCUCAUGCUCUCCACGAUUAACCUCCAGUCUACUUGGCUGUAAACAUCAGAAUCUUUUGAAGUUCCAGUUCCUGGUGUCGUAGAAUUGAAAUCAAAACCCUCGGGGCAUUGAAGAACAUGUUGAGUUUAUCAACCAAUGCUGGGACACAUCCCUGCACUCAACAGACUGCUGAGGGAGAGCGAGUGGAGGUGGAGUUCGUGGGAAUUGCUCAUGAUGGGUAGGUACUAGGGAAGGCCCAGAGUCUGCGGGAAGGUCAGGAGGAAGUCUCGGGUCUUGCACAAUGAGUUAAACCAGCCUGCCUCUCUCGCCAGUCCUGAUACCAGUGGGGGAGUCAGACCUCCCUGUGCCCAGCACUACCAGCUCUGGCCUUUGCACCUCUCGGUUCCUGGCGGUGAGCAGCUGCUGCGGGAAGCAGGCGAGGCAGCACCUCCAGUCCCAGUUCAGUAGGUCACCUGUCACAAGAGGACCUUCCUUGUGCCCGGCAAAUGCACGGUGCCCACAGGUCCAGGCAAGUGUCUGCCAGGCGCAUUAGAAUAUGCUUUAGCAUUGAGAAACCAGCCUCUACCUCAGAGCAAAGCCUGUCCAAGGAAGGGGGCGUGACCCUUGUCCUUGGAAAGACCCACAGAGCACGUACCCACC